This 254-nucleotide ribosomal RNA is filed under the name uncultured bacterium. RNAcentral describes it as "partial 16S ribosomal RNA". It matches the Rfam family "Bacterial small subunit ribosomal RNA", at positions 524 to 776 of the family's 1533-position model. The record is from RNAcentral.
UACGUAGGGUGCGAGCGUUUGUCCGGAAUUAUUGGGCGUAAAGAGCUCGUAGGCGGUUUGUCGCGUCGGGAGUGAAAUCCACUGGCUUAACUGGUGGCUUGCUUUCGAUACGGGCAGACUGGAGGUAUGCAGGGGAGAACGGAAUUCCUGGUGUAGCGGUGAAAUGCGCAGAUAUCAGGAGGAACACCGGUGGCGAAGGCGGUUCUCUGGGCAUGUCCUGACGCUGAGGAGCGAAAGCGUGGGGAGCGAACAGG